Molecule: transfer RNA, 71 nt
Filed under: Planctomycetaceae bacterium
Lineage: Bacteria; Pseudomonadati; Planctomycetota; Planctomycetia; Planctomycetales; Planctomycetaceae
Description: tRNA-Glu
Rfam family: tRNA
About the family: Transfer RNA (tRNA) molecules are approximately 80 nucleotides in length.
Source: RNAcentral
GCCCCGUUCGUCCAACGGCAGGAUAGCGGGCUUUCAAUCCGCAGAUGGGGGUUCAAUUCCCCUACGGGGUA